AGCUCCAAAAGUGUAUAUUUAAGUUGUUGCGGUUGAAAAGCUCGUAGUCGGAUUUCAGGGCUGGCGCGUUGGUCCCUCGCAAGAGUGGCACUGACGCGUCGCCCUCACCUCCGGUGCCUCGCCGGUGCUCUUAACUGAGUGCCGGCGCGGUCCGGAAAUUUUACCUUGAAAAAAUUAGAGUGUUUAUAGCAGGCGUUUUGCUUGUAUAAUGUUGCAUGGAAUAAUGGAAUAGGACCUCGGUUCUAUUUUGUUGGUUUUCGGAGCGCGAGGUAAUGACCAAUAGGAACGGACGGGGGCAUCCGUACUGUGCCGUUAGAGGUGAAAUUCUUGGAUCGGCGCAAGACGAACAACUGCGAAAGCAUUUGCCAAGAAUGUUUUCU
Molecule: ribosomal RNA, 380 nt
Filed under: uncultured eukaryote
Lineage: Eukaryota
Description: SSU rRNA
Rfam family: Eukaryotic small subunit ribosomal RNA
Source: RNAcentral